Non-coding RNA from Aedes aegypti (yellow fever mosquito), 73 nucleotides. Lineage: Eukaryota; Metazoa; Arthropoda; Insecta; Diptera; Culicidae. The record is from Rfam.
CCUCUCAUGGCGUAGUAGUAACGCGCCCCAACUAGAGAUCGGGGAGCCGUGAGUUCGAUUCUCAUUGAGAAAA